Molecule: transfer RNA, 183 nt
Filed under: Nanobdellota archaeon
Lineage: Archaea; Nanobdellati; Nanobdellota
Description: tRNA-Ile
Rfam family: tRNA (bases 1-60)
Source: RNAcentral
GGGCCCGUAGCUCAGUUUGGCCUAGAGCGCCUGUCUUAUAAGCAGGAGGUCCUGGGUUCAAAGUGAACCUUUUUCAGAAAAGGUUCAAUCCAAAAGGAGCUGACUCUCGAUGUCUCUUGUCCUAUAAUGUUGGAGACAAGACUCGAGCCAGCUUCCUGGAGAAUGAAAAUCCCAGCGGGCCCA